GAUGAACGCUGGCGGCGUGCUUAACACAUGCAAGUCGAACGAAGAGGUUCCGUCGGGGGAGACUGAUCGGGGGACGGGUGAGUAAGUAGUGGGUAAGUAGCCUGGCACUGGGGGACAGCAGCUGGAAAGGGCCUCUAAUACAUAAUAAGCACGUAGUACUGCAUGGUGGAUGGGGAUGAGGAGCAAUCCGGGACAGGGUGGGACCGGCUCUGUUUAAGCAGUUGGUAGGGGAAGUGCCUAGCAAAGAGACGAACAGUAGCCGAUCUGAGAGGCUGUACGGCUACAGUUGGACUGCGACACGGCCCAGAAUCCUACGGAAGGGAGCAGUGUAGAGUAUUGCACAAUGGAGGAAACUCUGAUGCAGCGGCGCCGCGUGAGUGAAGAAGUAUUUCGGUAUGUAAAGUCCUCUCAGCAGGGAAGAGAAUGACGGUAACUGACUAAGAAGCACCGGCUAAAUACGUG
RNAcentral lists this ribosomal RNA (462 nucleotides) under uncultured bacterium. RNAcentral's name for it is "partial 16S ribosomal RNA". It matches the Rfam family "Bacterial small subunit ribosomal RNA", at positions 28 to 507 of the family's 1533-position model. The record is from RNAcentral.